RNAcentral lists this ribosomal RNA (253 nucleotides) under uncultured bacterium. RNAcentral's name for it is "partial 16S ribosomal RNA". It matches the Rfam family "Bacterial small subunit ribosomal RNA", at positions 524 to 776 of the family's 1533-position model. The record is from RNAcentral.
GACAGAGGGUGCAAACGUUGUUCGGAAUUACUGGGCGUAAAGGGCGCGUAGGCGGCCUGAUAAGUCGGGGGUGAAAUCCUGUGGCUCAACCACAGGGCUGCCUCCGAGACUGUCGGGCUCGAGCACAGUAGAGGCAGGUGGAAUUCCCGGUGUAGCGGUGGAAUGCGCAGAUAUCAGGAAGAACACCAAUGGCGAAAGCAGCUUUCUGGGACGGUACUGACGCUGAGACGCGAAAGCGUGGGGAGCGAACAGG